CUCGAAAGAGCAGCUAAUACCGCAUACGACCUGAGGGUGGAAAGGGGGGAGUCGCAAGACCUCUCGUUAUUGGAGCGGCCGAUAUCAGAUUAGCUAGUUGGUGGGGUAAAGGCCUACCAAGGCAACGAUCUGUAGUUGGUCUGAGAGGACGACCAGCCACACUGGGACUGAGACACGGCCCAGACUCCUACGGGAGGCAGCAGUGGGGAAUUUUGGACAAUGGGCGCAAGCCUGAUCCAGCAAUGCCGCGUGCAGGAAGAAGGCCUUCGGGUUGUAAACUGCUUUUGUCAGGGAAGAAAUCCUCUAGGUUAAUACCCUUGGGGGGAUGACGGUACCUGAAGAAUAAGCACCGGCUAACUACGUGCCAGCAGCCGCGGUAAUACGUAGGGUGCAAGCGUUAAUCGGAAUUACUGGGCGUAAAGCGUGCGCAGGCGGCUUUGCAAGACAGAUGUGAAAUCCCCGGGGCUCAACCUGGGAACUGCAUUUGUGACUGCAAGGCUAGAGUACGGUAGAGGGG
RNAcentral lists this ribosomal RNA (517 nucleotides) under uncultured bacterium. Its description in RNAcentral is "bacterial SSU rRNA". It matches the Rfam family "Bacterial small subunit ribosomal RNA", at positions 150 to 659 of the family's 1533-position model. The record is from RNAcentral.